RNAcentral lists this long non-coding RNA (266 nucleotides) under Homo sapiens (human). Its description in RNAcentral is "HSALNT0077995". Lineage: Eukaryota; Metazoa; Chordata; Mammalia; Primates; Hominidae. The record is from RNAcentral.
GAAAGGGAACAUGAAAAAGAUGGGAAUGUCCCUGGAUAUAGGCAGCUCCAGAGAGGGAGACAGUCUGUCCUUGAAUCAUUACUAUUAUCCCUGCACAAUUUUCUUGGAUUUGGAGAAAGCUAUAGGUAAUAUACAGGUGAAUAUUUCUCAGAUUAUUUCUGUUGUUCUUUUUGGAAGGCUCUGCAUGCCAAGCUCAAAAAAUCAUCCAUAUCAAAGUUGAAGCCAGAGCAGACAAUGGCCCACUGGUGGGGUCAAGCCAUUUAAAC